RNAcentral lists this ribosomal RNA (109 nucleotides) under Gracilariopsis longissima. Lineage: Eukaryota; Rhodophyta; Florideophyceae; Gracilariales; Gracilariaceae. The record is from RNAcentral.
UUUUAACUUAAAGAGUAAAGAAUUAAGUACAUGAUCCCUUUUCGAAUUCAAAAGUAUCUUUAUCUCAACUAAAACUACUAUUUUUAUGGGAUUAUUAGGAAGGUUAAAA